This 429-nucleotide ribosomal RNA is filed under the name Bacteroidota bacterium. RNAcentral's name for it is "Bacteroidetes bacterium partial 16S ribosomal RNA". It matches the Rfam family "Bacterial small subunit ribosomal RNA", at positions 355 to 776 of the family's 1533-position model. Lineage: Bacteria; Pseudomonadati; Bacteroidota. The record is from RNAcentral.
UAGGGAAUCUUCGGCAAUGGGGGGAACCCUGACCGAGCAACGCCGCGUGAGUGAAGAAGGUUUUCGGAUCGUAAAGCUCUGUUGUUAAGGAAGAACGAGUGUGAGAAUGGAAAGUUCAUACUGUGACGGUACUUAACCAGAAAGGGACGGCUAACUACGUGCCAGCAGCCGCGGUAAUACGUAGGUCCCGAGCGUUGUCCGGAUUUAUUGGGCGUAAAGCGAGCGCAGGCGGUUAGAUAAGUCUGAAGUUAAAGGCAGUGGCUCAACCAUUGUAGGCUUUGGAAACUGUUUAACUUGAGUGCAGAAGGGGAGAGUGGAAUUCCAUGUGUAGCGGUGAAAUGCGUAGAUAUAUGGAGGAACACCAGUGGCGAAGGCGACUUUCUGGUCUGUAACUGACGCUGAUGUGCGAAAGCGUGGGGAUCAAACAGG